UGCGAGACCGAUAGCGAACAAGUACCGUGAGGGAAAGAUGAAAAGAACUUUGAAAAGAGAGUUAAAGAGUACCUGAAACUGCUGAAAGGGAACCGAAUCGUAUCCAGUGUCUAUAAUCCAUGGCAUAUUUCAUUGGCGAGUGAGUGCGUGCAGCGUUUUGGAAGUGGUUUUCCGCUCCUGUCGUUGUUGUGCAUUUGCUUGCUGGUGCCCUGUGCUGUGGUGGGACGUCAGAGUCAGUUUGCGUGUCGCGGGAAAUGGUUGUUGGGGAGGUAGGUCGCUUCGGUGGCUAUUAUAUCCUGGUAACUAGUCGUCGUGGCUGAGACUGAGGUGCCUACAAUGUGCUUUCGAGUGUGCGGGUUUCUCGUGUGGCUGUUUGCUUUGAUAGCUUGCUAUGUUGGUGAAAUAAGUUGUGCGACUUGAGACCCUGUAUUAAUCUUGUUGGCUGUUCGGGAA
Molecule: ribosomal RNA, 453 nt
Filed under: uncultured Oomycota
Lineage: Eukaryota; Oomycota
Description: LSU rRNA
Rfam family: Eukaryotic large subunit ribosomal RNA
Source: RNAcentral